UCUUCUUCUUCUCUACGAGACAAAUGAGAGAAAGAAAAACCCUAGAAUUUGGCCUAGGUUUUGUUCGUCCAUGUUAUAAUCGGCGAUGUGUAAUGUUUCUCCGAUUUCGAGUUUUCAGGUGGAGGUUGCAAGUACACCGGUCAAUCCGUGUGAUAUGGACAAUGGACAGAGAGCGGUGCCAAUACGCGUUUUAACUGUGGGGAAGAAGAGGUCUCGUGGCGUUCAGCUUCUCGUUGAUGAGUAUAUUGAAAAGCUCAAGAACUACUGUCAUAUUGAAGAUGUUCUACUGCGCUCAAAUCCUAGGAAUGCGCGGGAUCCGAGAGCUCAGGUUGAUGAUGAAGACAUGGCUGUCGUGAAUCUUCUCAAAUCUGAUGAUUGGGUUGUGAUGUUGGAUGAGAAUGGGAAAGAGAUGUCCUCCGAGCAGAUGGCUGACUUGGUGGCAGAUGCAGGCACUACAGGUGCUUCAAGAUUAUCAUUUUGCAUUGGUGGGCCUUAUGGCCAUGGACAACAACUGCGACAACGAGCUAACUUAUCGAUCAAGCUGUCCUCCAUGGUCUUAAAUCAUCAAAUUGCACUGCUGGUGCUUAUGGAACAACUUUACAGGUCAUGGACUAUUCUAAAAGGUCAGAAGUACCAUCAUUAGCGGCAGCAGCUCAUAUGUCAGCUUGGAAAUUUUGUUGCUUAUUUUGUCCAAAGCAUUUCCCUCCUGAUCGUCGGUGUACUAAUAUAAAUUUGUCAAUUACUCGUAAGUAGUACUUGUUUUAUAUCAUAUUUGCUCGAGGAUUCGUGAUGAAUGGACUCGAGGUGGAGAGUAAAUUUUCCCGUCGUCAUUACACCUGAUUUCUUCUAUUUUCUUUUGGGAAGGAGACAGGAGACUUGUUUAUGUUAGUUUAUUAUGAUGUUGUAAUGAACAUUACGAGAAUUUUUGAGAUAUUCAUAUAUUGGGAAACAUAGUAAGAUGUCAAGAUGUUCGUUUAUUUGGCUUGUGCAUAUUGAGCACUUAAUCAAUAUAAAGUUUGUACUA
This is an RNA transcript of Benincasa hispida (wax gourd), 1024 nucleotides long. It is a transcript of the gene named methyltransferase, with no coding region annotated. The record is from RefSeq and is a predicted model, not a curated record. NCBI's taxonomy places the organism in Eukaryota, Viridiplantae, Streptophyta, Magnoliopsida, Cucurbitales, Cucurbitaceae.